This 492-nucleotide ribosomal RNA is filed under the name uncultured bacterium. Its description in RNAcentral is "partial 16S ribosomal RNA". It matches the Rfam family "Bacterial small subunit ribosomal RNA", at positions 29 to 507 of the family's 1533-position model. The record is from RNAcentral.
AGUGAACGCUGGCGGUAGGCCUAACACAUGCAAGUCGAACGGCAGCACAUUAAGCGCUUGCUCUUACGGGUGGCGAGUGGCGGACGGGAGAGGAAUACACCGGAAUUUACUUUUUCGAGGGGGUUAACGUCGGGAAACUUACGUAAAUACCGCAUACGACCUACGGGUGGAAGCAGGGGAACUUAGGACCUUGCGCGAUAGAAUGAGCCGAUGUCGGUUUAGUUAGUUGGCGGGGUAAUGGUACACCAAGGCGACAAUACGUAGCUGGUCUGAGAGGAUGAACAGCCACACGGGAACUGAGACACGGCCCAGACUCCGACGCGAGGCAGCAGUGGGGAAUAUUGGACGAUGGGCGAAAGCCUGAUCCAGCCAUACCGCGUGAGUGAAGAAGGCCUUCGGGUGGUAAAGCCCUGUUGUUGGGAAAGAAAAGCAGCAGGUUAAUACCCCGCUGUUCUGACGGUACCCAAAGAAUAAGCACCGGCUAACUUCGUG